Molecule: long non-coding RNA, 3665 nt
Organism: Triticum aestivum (bread wheat)
Lineage: Eukaryota; Viridiplantae; Streptophyta; Magnoliopsida; Poales; Poaceae
Exons: 3
Source: RefSeq, a predicted model, not a curated record
UCGAUCUAUUUGCUAGGUCGAUCGUGAAGCUCGCCGCCGCCGCCAUCAUGGAACGCUUCACCGCCGCCAUCGUGGAACGCCUCGCCGCCGCCAACGUGGAGCCCUUCACCGAAGCAGAGGUCCAGGAUGGCCGCCGCCGAGGUCCGAGAUCGCCAUCCCUAUCUGUUUCUUGUUCGCUGGCCUCUCUCACAUUCCCCAUCUCUCUCUCUCUCUCUCUCUCUCUCUCUCGCGCGCGCGCGCGCGCGCGCGCGCGUCAUUGCCACCGCUGCCCACUACCGGCUGCGUCUGCCGCUACCCCCAUGGCGCUACCGACUCCGAUGAGAUCUCCCCUUUCUAACAUAUGCGGCCGCCUCGCUGUUCCUGCCCCACGUGCGGCCCCGCGGCUAACCCUAGCAACCUCUAUCUCCAACGGCGGCGCCUCCCUCGUCCUCUCACAACCCCGUCCUCCUCCCUACGCGUGCUCCACACGUAUCUCCGACGAUGAUAGCGGCCAACAGGCUGUGGGCCUACCAGAGGGCACGGCAGGCGGCAACGCAAGGCAGCGGGGCGCAUGGUUGAUGCUCACGACAAUGGUAUGCGCGAGCAUGCCACAGGCAGCGGCCAGGUGUGUGAGGGCAGUAGCCAGUGAGGGCACGCUGAUGUUCGUCUGGGCCACACGGUGAGUAUUCUUUGUUUAUGUGUUCUGGCUAUUUUGUGAAUUGAUGCAUCGGCCAAAAGGUUGCGCCAUCUCAAGUAUCUGUGGGUCAGUCACAGUACAGUACAAAUACUGGCCAUCUAUUGGGCGGAUCUGGUAGUGAUUUCACCGAUUUCAGGUAAGAAUGCUCUCUCCUCUUUGUAGUUAAUUAAACAGAUCCGUAAGCUGCUUGACUGCUACAACUGGUUGUAUCACCGGCCGGUUACUUCGGGUGAAUAAGGCAGAACGAAUUAUGCCAUGUAUGUUCCAUCUCAUUUUGUUCAAUGCUUGUGCUUUCCGUAAUUGGGAGUCUCCAAGUUUUGAUUGCAUUUAUUAGAAUGAUUGGUACUAUCAGGUUGAUGAACGGAAUGUGAAGCUUAUAUGAAACAGUGGGAUUUUCAGUUUGUAUGCUCGUCCAUUAACUCAAUUUUUGCAGGUUUCAUGAUAUAGUAAUUCUGCAAAUGUGUCGACUUUCUAUUUAGUUUUCCAGUGCCAUUUAAUUGUUAAACUUUCUAGAUCAAAAUCUCAAGAAUACCCAAUAUGAUUCUUUUUUGUUAUUUCUUUCAGCGAGCCACACAGAGAUCUGACAAAGGUCCUAUAGAACUGACCACGAGAGCGGCGGCAAGUGCAGCAGUGCGUACUCAACGGUUGACCGACUACGUGCAAAUCAUGUCCCCAGUGUGAUUGAGAAUGGCGGUAAAUUAUUAGACACAAGCGGUUAAUUUCUACCAAUUAGAACUACACAGUGAAGCCUGGCAAAAUGGCCACAAGUAUUGGUUCAUAACACAUGCGUUUUAGCGGGAUGGAGGUAAUAUUGAGAGAGACAGACCCAUUAGGCUAAGGAAAAGAAAUAGUAUAUCUUUUGAGUCUACCAUCUUGUAUGCCAAGCAGCGUCGAGUAGAUGAUAUACUAGGCGCUUUUCUUCUAAAUUGUACAGAAAGUCCACUGAGUCAUUGUUGUUUGUAUGCCACCGUAGAGCAAAAUAGUACUUCUUUUAAUCAUUUUUAGGUGAAAUACAAGCAUGUAGCUACCUCACUUAAUUAUUGUACUCACUUGAAGUUUUAUGUUGAUACAAUGCAAUAUUUAAGUAGUAGAGAAACCUCACAAAUUUAAAUUGAUGAAUGAUAUUUAGGAAAAGAAGUAUGCAUGUUUCAUUAUAAAGGGAAAGUCUUUUUCAAGGCAUAGUGUUUAAUUCACGAAUGAUUAAACAGUUUAACGGGGACCAACACUGAGUAGCAGGGGAGUGGCAGUGCAUAGAGACAUAGUGAGGAGAGCGGGGGCGAUGAUGGAGGCGGAGAUGUUUAGAGAAAGAUAUAGAGAGCAGGAGGUUUAACAUGGUGCAAUCAAAAACCGAGAGCCACGAAACAUAACAAUACUCUGCAUUGUUUUGAUGUUGGUAUCAGAACCAGGUACCAUGUGAAGCUCAAGGAAUGGUUGUAGAUCAUUAUGGAGAAACUGAAGAAAAAAAAGAUCCUUAUGGAGUACAUUAUAAACGACAUUUGGUGUCGGCGGCAUGUCACUACCUCUGACAAAGUUCUCUGAAACACGAUUACUAUCAUGUACAAUGCUUUUACAACCGAUUAAAUUUAUUUGGUACAUAGAGCUAUUGGUCCUUUAUGAUUAUUUUAUUUCUUCAGUACAAAUGCUUUUAGCUCUUGAUAUUUUAUUACGGCUAUACACUUAUCCAUUGACACGCCACUUGUGGAAACUUUUUCCGUUGGAAUAAGAAGAACAACAAUGAUUUAGUUGUAAUAAAAUGCUGAAAAUGCAACCUGAUGUGCAUGAGUACCUUAAAGAUAUAUGCUAGACAACAGCAAUGAUUUAACUUGUUGUAAAAUGUUGUUUCUGCACUAAAUCUUCUUUACAAACUGUUUGCACAAGAGAGGUAGUCCUGCUGGAAUCAUGUAUGCCUCUCGUGAGUUUCACUAUUAAGUAUUCAAAGCAGCAAAGAUAACAGGAUGGAAUGUCAAGGUGAUCACCCGUAUUUCUGGAGAAAUAGUAAGUGGGCUAACUGAGGUGAAACUCAACAAUGUAUCUCUACUAUUAAAGGGCCAUAAAAAUACAGAACUUGUGAAGCAUCCCUUCAAGCUACCAUCUUUACUGGAAGCUUGGUUCCCUUGAUUUGCUUGUUUACAAAUAUUUAACCUGGUGUUUUAUUUGUAUGUUGUCAUCCUGUGGUCAUUAACAAUCAUGCAGAUGGAACUGCUCUUAUUUAGAACAACCUGGCUUAUCCUCGGUCGAGUGAGUCAUAACAGAAUUGAAAAGAAAUGCUGGCAGAGAUAUUAAAAUUCAAACCUGGCUUAUUUUUCUCAAUAUGGGUUCAGAAGGAAAUUGUCGUUGAGCUUCUAUCUAAAGAUUUCAGCAGCCUCGAUGGAUGAUGGCAGGAACCUCAUGGGCCACACAUCCCCUUCCUUAAUUGCAUGCCCUCACAAAAUGGAUGGGGACUGGGUUCUUUGGUUGUCGCCGCCGGACUCAGCGAAGGACGAAAAAUCGAGAUGAUCCAGUGGAGAAUAGAUGCCACGGGCUGAAGAAAGGAGGCGACGGUUUCAGAGCACACACCUUGAAGCGGAGAGGCGGCAGGGGAGUGGGUCUGGAUGGCAGAGGGAGCGAGACGAGGCAACAUCAGAUGGGAGGCAUGGUCAAAAGAGGCGCCGUAGGAGCAAUCGUGCGUGUGUGGGGGCCAUACCAGGGAGAAGGAAAUGGGUGGUCGGUUUUCCAGGGCUUUUUUUCCUUGCAUCGGGAAAUGGGUUCGGUUGAAAAAACGAUGAGGUGGGGAGGUCACGCGAAGGGUGGAGACGUGGGUACCAUAUAACGUACCAACUGUGCUUUAAUAGUAGAGAUUAAGAUGUUGAUAUUUUAUUCAUUUUCUACUUAGCUGAAGAUUCUUUGAAGAAAAAAAACUAUGAAACUUGUAAUGUAUCAUGGUCGCAAUUUGUGAAGUAGAACUAACUAUCGUUUGACCAAAUACCCUUUGAUCAUUCAUCAAUUUUUA